RNAcentral lists this microRNA (22 nucleotides) under Homo sapiens (human). RNAcentral describes it as "hsa-miR-4436b-5p". The record is from miRBase by way of RNAcentral. Lineage: Eukaryota; Metazoa; Chordata; Mammalia; Primates; Hominidae.
GUCCACUUCUGCCUGCCCUGCC